ACGUAGGGUGCAAGCGUUAUCCGGAUUCACUGGGUUUAAAGGGUGCGUAGGCGGAUUGGGAAGUCCGUGGUGAAAUCCCCGAGCUUAACUCGGGAACUGCCGUGGUUACUCUCAGUCUUGAAUAUCGUGGAGGUAAGCGGAAUAUGUCAUGUAGCGGUGAAAUGCUUAGAGAUGACAUAGAACACCAAUUGCGAAGGCAGCUUACUACACGGUCAUUGACGCUGAGGCACGAAAGCGUGGGGAUCAAACAGGA
RNAcentral lists this ribosomal RNA (253 nucleotides) under uncultured prokaryote. Its description in RNAcentral is "partial 16S ribosomal RNA". It matches the Rfam family "Bacterial small subunit ribosomal RNA", at positions 525 to 777 of the family's 1533-position model. The record is from RNAcentral.